UACGGGGGGGGCAAGCGUUGUUCGGAAUUACUGGGCGUAAAGGGCUCGUAGGCGGCCAACUAAGUCAUACGUGAAAUCCCUCGGCUUAACUGGGGAACUGCGUCUGAUACUGGAUGGCUUGAGUUUGGGAGAGGGAUGCGGAAUUCCAGGUGUAGCGGUGAAAUGCGUAGAUAUCUGGAGGAACACCGGUGGCGAAGGCGGCAUCCUGGACCAACACUGACACUGAUGAGCGAAAGCCAGGGGAGCAAACGGG
Molecule: ribosomal RNA, 253 nt
Filed under: uncultured bacterium
Lineage: Bacteria
Description: partial 16S ribosomal RNA
Rfam family: Bacterial small subunit ribosomal RNA
Source: RNAcentral